RNAcentral lists this ribosomal RNA (460 nucleotides) under uncultured bacterium. Its description in RNAcentral is "partial 16S ribosomal RNA". It matches the Rfam family "Bacterial small subunit ribosomal RNA", at positions 338 to 795 of the family's 1533-position model. The record is from RNAcentral.
CCUACGGGUGGCAGCAGUGAGGAAUAUUGGUCAAUGGGCGCGAGCCUGAACCAGCCAAGUCGCGUGAGGGAGGACGGCCCUACGGGUUGUAAACCUCUUUUGCCGGGGAGCAACGGGCGCCACGUGUGGCGUCACUGAGAGUACCCGGAGAAAAAGCAUCGGCUAACUCCGUGCCAGCAGCCGCGGUCAUACGGAGGAUGCGAGCGUUAUCCGGAUUUAUUGGGUUUAAGGGGUGCGUAGGCGGAUCGUUAAGUCAGUGUGAAAAUUGAGGGGCUCAACCCCUUCCCGCCAUUGAAACUGGCUUUCUUGAGUGGAAGAGAGGUAUGCGGAAUUCGUGGUGUAGCGGUGAAAUGCAUAGAUAUCACGCAGAACCCCGAUUGCGAAGGCAGCAUGCCGGCUUCCGACUGACGCUGAAGCACGAAAGCGUGGGGAUCGAACAGGAUUAGAUACCCGUGUAGUC